UGGGAAUUUUGGACAAUGGGCGCAAGCCUGAUCCAGCCAUGCCGCGUGCGGGAAGAAGGCCUUCGGGUUGUAAACCGCUUUUGCCAGGGAAGAAAUCUUCUGAGUUAAUACCUCGGGAGGAUGACGGUACCUGAAGAAUAAGCACCGGCUAACUACGUGCCAGCAGCCGCGGUAAUACGUAGGGUGCAAGCGUUAAUCGGAAUUACUGGGCGUAAAGCGUGCGCAGGCGGUUUUGUAAGACGGAGGUGAAAUCCCCGGGCUCAACCUGGGAACUGCCUUUGUGACUGCAAGGCUUGAGUGCGGCAGAGGGGGAUGGAAUUCCGCGUGUAGCAGUGAAAUGCGUAGAUAUGCGGAGGAACACCGAUGGCGAAGGCAAUCCCCUGGGCCUGCACUGACGCUCAUGCACGAAAGCGUGGGGAGCAAACAGGAUUAGAUACCCUGGUAGUCCACGCCCUAAACGAUGUCAACUGGUUGUUGGGGAAGGUUCCUUCUCAGUAACGUAGCUAACGCGUGAAGUUGACCGCCUGGGGAGUACGGCCGCAAGGUUGAAACUCAAAUGAAUUGAC
This 566-nucleotide ribosomal RNA is filed under the name uncultured bacterium. RNAcentral's name for it is "partial 16S ribosomal RNA". It matches the Rfam family "Bacterial small subunit ribosomal RNA", at positions 356 to 914 of the family's 1533-position model. The record is from RNAcentral.